UUUCACUUCAGUCAUCUAUACCUUAUAGAUAAAUACUUCAACAUAGUCAGAUUUGCUAGAAAGUUGAUCUAUAAAUGCUCUCCAGUUUAAAAGUCAGCUCUGUUGGGCCAAUGCCUAGUUGUAUCUUUUAGGAUAUUUGUGGUAAAAUUUAUUUUUUGUGAUAUCUCUGCAUAUUCAGUCAAGUUCCCUCUUGUCUUUCAUACAGGACAAUGGUUGUGUCUGGUGAAGUUCACAAAGUAGAUAAGUACUAAGUCUUCAUUCCCCCUCCACCUGUGAGUACUUCCUGAGGGCCUACUAUGUGCUGGGCACUACGCCAGGCACUAGGAGCUGAAUUAAGGGCAGAGAGAAUCCACUUUUGUGAAGUAUACAACUUGGUAGAUGGGAGAUGUUAAAAAGUUAAAUGACUACAAAUAUCUGGCAAUGAGCAUCAUGCUUAAUAGUGAAAUACUGAAUGCUGUCCCCCUAAGAUUGGGAACAAAGUAAGGACAUCUACUCUCAUUAUACCUAUUGAACAUCAAUAAUGCAUAAGUUUGGAAAGGGCCAGGAACUGUGGCACACACCUAUAAUCCCAGCUCAGGAGGUUGAGGCAGGAGGAUUGCAAGUUCAAGGCCAGCCCAAGUAACUUAGUGAGACCCUGCCUCAAAAUCAAAUAAAACUUUUUACAUAGCUCAGUGGUGAGCACUUUUGAGCAUGUGACAUUCCUGGGUUUAGUCCCUACUACCACAAGGAAGAAAAAAAUAAAAUUAAAAAGAAAGAGAUUAAUUAUUUGUGGACAACAUGCUUGCUAAUGUUAAAAACAAAACCAAACACUGCCAAGGAAUGUACAAAUAAGCCUCUCACACAAUGAAAGUGUCUUUUCUAAGAUUACAGGAGGCAAACCACAAAAACCAAUUAUAUUUCUAUAAAUUAAUAAUGAAUAAUUAGAAACCAAGAUUUUUAAGAAAUUACAGCAGUUUCAAAACUAGGAAAUAUUAGGUCUAAAGCUAGCAAAACGUAUAGGCUGCAUAUACUAAAAGCUAUAAAAUACUGACUAAAGAAAUCAAAGAUGA
Molecule: long non-coding RNA, 1049 nt
Filed under: Marmota monax (woodchuck)
Lineage: Eukaryota; Metazoa; Chordata; Mammalia; Rodentia; Sciuridae
Source: RNAcentral